AUUCCAUGAUGGGGACAUUCUAGGAUGUAGUCUUGGAAGCGCUCCCAUGCCUCUGGAACGGAUUCAUCAUGUUGUUGCUAAAAACUUGUAAUCCUCCCACAGAGAGC
RNAcentral lists this small nucleolar RNA (107 nucleotides) under Sorghum bicolor (sorghum). Its description in RNAcentral is "Plant small nucleolar RNA R71". It matches the Rfam family "Plant small nucleolar RNA R71". Rfam says of the family: R71 is a member of the C/D box family of snoRNAs containing the C (UGAUGA) and D (CUGA) box motifs. The record is from Rfam by way of RNAcentral. Lineage: Eukaryota; Viridiplantae; Streptophyta; Magnoliopsida; Poales; Poaceae.